AUCGCUUCUCGGCCUUUGGCUAAGAUCAAGUGUAGUAUCUGUUCUUAUCAGUUUAAUAUCUGAUACGUCCUCUAUCCGAGGACAAUAUAUUAAAUGGAUUUUUGGAGAAUGGAAUAGGAGCUUGCUCCGUCCACUCCACGCAUCGACCUGGUAUUGCAGUACCUCCAGGAACGGUGCACCACCU
Molecule: small nuclear RNA, 184 nt
Filed under: Macaca fascicularis (crab-eating macaque)
Lineage: Eukaryota; Metazoa; Chordata; Mammalia; Primates; Cercopithecidae
Description: U2 spliceosomal RNA (ENSMFAG00000052817.1)
Rfam family: U2 spliceosomal RNA
About the family: U2 is a small nuclear RNA (snRNA) component of the spliceosome (involved in pre-mRNA splicing). Complementary binding between U2 snRNA (in an area lying towards the 5' end but 3' to hairpin I) and the branchpoint sequence (BPS) of the intron results the bulging out of an unpaired adenosine, on the BPS, which initiates a nucleophilic attack at the intronic 5' splice site, thus starting the first of two transesterification reactions that mediate splicing.
Source: Rfam by way of RNAcentral